Molecule: RNA transcript, 2500 nt
Organism: Microplitis mediator
Lineage: Eukaryota; Metazoa; Arthropoda; Insecta; Hymenoptera; Braconidae
Gene: Mvl
Gene name: protein Malvolio
Exons: 13
Source: RefSeq, a predicted model, not a curated record
AGUAGCCAGUAGGAGCGCAGUCGCCUACCAACCUUCCGACUAGUAGCAUCCGUCACUAUUUUUAUACUGUUCUAUGUAAUUAUUUUACUUUAUUUUUAUGUACAUAUGUAUAUCUAUAUACACGUAUAUAUAUUUACAAAUACAUUGUUAAAGUAUGUGAACAAUAAGAUUCAAUAAACAAUAACAAAUAAAAUUUAUUUUCGCGCCAAAAAUAAUUUAAAAGUUUAAACAAUUGAGUGUUGAAAAAAAGUCUGGUUCAAUUUUUAAAAGUUGAGGUUAUGAAAAAAAAAAUAAUUUAUUGUUAAUUUAUUACGAAUUGUAAAUUUUUUUGUUGUGUUAUUGUUUAAAUUACGUCAUAUUUGUAAUUACUGAGAAAUAAAAUUUUUUUAAAGUUGAAUUUAAAAAUACAAGUAGUAAAAUGACUGAUGAUUACGAUGUCGGAAAUGGUGGCGGAUCUAAUGAAGAUUCAAAGUCGCAGUCAACAAAAGCUGAUAAAAAAUUACAGGAAUUUGAAAGAAAUAAAAAUUAUAGUGAAAAUUCAAUUUUAACACCAGCCGCUGAUCAGACGUAUUUUGCUGAUACUAAAAUUCAUAUACCGGAAAUUGAAAAUACCAUAUUUAGCUUCAGAAAAUUAUGGGCUUUUACGGGACCGGGAUUUUUGAUGUCAAUCGCAUAUUUAGAUCCUGGAAAUAUUGAGUCCGAUUUACAAUCUGGUGUUAAAGCCAAAUAUAAGCUACUAUGGGUAUUGUUAAGUGCAACAAUACUCGGAUUAAUAAUGCAGCGUCUAAGUGCACGUCUAGGUGUUGUAACAGGAUUACAUUUAGCUGAGAUGUGCUAUCGGCAGUACAAAAAAUUACCGCGUAUUUUGCUAUGGAUCAUGACUGAAAUAGCAAUUAUUGGCAGUGAUAUGCAAGAGGUCAUUGGUACUGCCACUGCACUGUAUCUACUAUCCAAUAAAGGUCUUCCAUUGUGGUCAGGAGUAUUGAUAACAGUAAUAGACACAUUUACAUUUUUAUUACUUGAUAAAUAUGGCCUCAGAAAGCUGGAAUUAUUUUUCGGAUUAUUGAUAAGUGUUAUGGCUGUUACAUUUGGAUACGAAUAUGUCGUAUCAGGACCCCCGCAACUGGAAGUUAUCAAGGGUAUGUUUACUCCGAUGUGUGUAAACUGUGAUAGUACUGUAUUAUUACAGGCUGUGGGUAUUGUCGGCGCUGUUAUUAUGCCCCAUAAUUUAUAUUUGCACAGCGCGUUAGUUAAAUCGAGAGAUAUUGACAGACGACAGCCGACGAAAGUAAAGGAAGCGAAUAAAUAUUUUUUUAUUGAAUCGUGUAUUGCUUUGUUGGUAUCAUUUAUUAUAAAUGUAUUCGUUGUGGCUGUAUUUGCUCAUGGGUUAUUUGGAAAAACGAACGCGGAUGUGCAUGCAGUGUGUGUCAGUGCGAAUAAUACUUUAGGAACAGAUACUUUUCCGGAUGAUACAAACUACGUAGAUGCUGAUUUAUAUAAAGGAGGAAUAUUUCUCGGAUGUACAUUCGGAGUAGCUGCGAUGUACAUUUGGGCAGUUGGUAUCCUCGCGGCUGGACAGUCGUCAACGAUGACCGGGACAUAUGCCGGUCAAUUUGCCAUGGAAGGAUUUUUGAAUUUGCAAUGGUCUAGGUGGAAACGUGUACUACUUACUCGUACAAUUGCCAUCGUUCCGACAUUUUUUGUAGCCUUCUACGCUAACAUCGAGGAUCUUACAGGAAUGAAUGAUGUCCUUAAUGCCGUUAUGAGUCUCCAACUGCCUUUCGCAACUCUCCCGACCAUCGCUUUCACCAGCAGUGUUCAUGUCAUGGGUCAAUUUAGAAAUGGAAAGUUUAAUAAAAUUGUCGCAACAGCAUUGUCAGCAGUUGUAAUAGGAAUUAAUAUUUAUUUCGUUAAAGACACCGUUGAAACAGUAUUACCGGAUCACUGGGCAGUAUAUUUAGGAAUAACUAUCUAUGCAAUAUUUUAUCUUGGAUUCUGUUUAUAUUUAGUUAUUCAUAUGGCUAUUGCAAUGGGCGCUGACUUUUUAACAAAUUACAGAAUCAUUGCUAAAUUUAUCGGUGGGCCGACAGAAAUGAAUUUUUCACUGACUAGUCCUUCCGAUUAUUCCAGUAGCUCUGAUACAUCAGUGGUGUCUCGAGAGUCUACAGAAAGAUUACUUCCACAUGAGACGUAAUAAUUAACUAAUUAAUUAUAGUAAAAAAAUAAAAAAAAAAAUUUCAUUUGAUAUCGUAUCGAAGUAAAUGAAAACAGUAUAUUUAAAUUUAAAUAAAAUCAUUCAUACUGCAUAUGAUGUCAGCAUGCAACUCAUGUAUGUCACUAAGAAGAAUUUCUAUGACUAAAAAUAAUAAAUAACACUUAACGAUAUCAAUUUAAUGCAAUAACACAAGAACAAAUUAUGGAUUCGCAAUUCAAGAAAAUAUAAAUGGGAGUUUCUCAUCACUUGGCGUAAUGUAAAAUAAAUUAAAGUUAAUUAAUUAUU